RNAcentral lists this long non-coding RNA (398 nucleotides) under Androctonus crassicauda. The record is from RNAcentral. Lineage: Eukaryota; Metazoa; Arthropoda; Arachnida; Scorpiones; Buthidae.
UGUUGACGUUCGAAGUCGUCAGCAUAUCCGAAGGGAAGUAUAUUCGAAUCUAUUGUAGAAGUAUCUAAUUUCUGUUUCGGUUUCAUAUUUUUUGCUUAUAAACCAGACGGUAUGUCCGUGGCAUGCGCUUCACGAUUUGCUGUCUUGAAAUUGGAAGACGAAGAGAUCACAGCAACAACGACAACAUCCAAACUGGAAAAAAAUCGAAAUAGUCUAAAUCUCCAGGAAUGUAAACAGUCUAAUGAAUCCAAAACAAAGAAGAAGAAAAAGAAAAACUCUCAGGAUAAUGAGGCUGGAUGUCAAACAGCUACAAACAUUUUCAUUUUCAAGAUAUUUUUAUGAUGAUGAGACAGCUACAGAAGAUUAUAUAGAUUCUAUUAUACUUUAUGAAGACUGAU